RNAcentral lists this ribosomal RNA (1181 nucleotides) under human gut metagenome. RNAcentral's name for it is "bacterial SSU rRNA". It matches the Rfam family "Bacterial small subunit ribosomal RNA", at positions 333 to 1520 of the family's 1533-position model. The record is from RNAcentral.
AAACUCCUACGGGAGGCAGCAGUAGGGAAUUUUCGUCAAUGGGGGGAACCCUGAACGAGCAAUGCCGCGUGAGUGAAGAAGGUCUUCGGAUCGUAAAGCUCUGUUGUAAGAGAAAAACGGACUCCAUAGGGAAUGAUGGAGGAGUGAUGGUAUCUUACCAGAAAGCCACGGCUAACUACGUGCCAGCAGCCGCGGUAAUACGUAGGUGGCGAGCGUUAUCCGGAAUCAUUGGGCGUAAAGGGUGCGUAGGUGGCACGAUAAGUCUGUAGUAAAAGGCAGCGGCUCAACCGCUGUUGGCUAUGGAAACUGUCGAGCUGGAGUGCAGAAGAGGGCGAUGGAAUUCCAUGUGUAGCGGUAAAAUGCGUAGAUAUAUGGAGGAACACCAGUGGCGAAGGCGACGAUCUGGCGCAUAACUGACGCUCAGUCCCGAAAGCGUGGGGAGCAAAUAGGAUUAGAUACCCUAGUAGUCCACGCCGUAAACGAUGAGAACUAAGUGUUGGGGAAACUCAGUGCUGCAGUUAACGCAAUAAGUUCUCCGCCUGGGGAGUAUGCACGCAAGUGUGAAACUCAAAGGAAUUGACGGGGGCCCGCACAAGCGGUGGAGUAUGUGGUUUAAUUCGAAGCAACGCGAAGAACCUUACCAGGCCUUGACAUGGAGAUAAAGGCCCUGGAGACAGGGAGAUAGAUAUAUCUCACACAGGUGGUGCAUGGUUGUCGUCAGCUCGUGUCGUGAGAUGUUGGGUUAAGUCCCGCAACGAGCGCAACCCUUGUUUCAUGUUACCAAUAUUGAGUUAGGGACUCAUGAGAGACUGCCGGUGACAAACCGGAGGAAGGUGGGGAUGACGUCAAAUCAUCAUGCCCCUUAUGGCCUGGGCUACACACGUACUACAAUGGCGGUUACAAAGGGCAGCGACCCUGUGAGGGGGAGCGAAUCCCGGAAAGACCGUCUCAGUUCGGAUUGAAGUCUGCAACCCGACUUCAUGAAGUUGGAAUCGCUAGUAAUCGCGAAUCAGCAUGUCGCGGUGAAUACGUUCUCGGGCCUUGUACACACCGCCCGUCAAACCAUGGGAGUUGGCAAUACCCGAAGCCGGUGGCAUAACCAAAUGGAGUGAGCCGUCGAAGGUAGGGCCGAUGACUGGGGUUAAGUCGUAACAAGGUAUCCCUACGGGAACGUGGGGAUG